GAUGAACGCUGGCGGCGUGCCUAAUACAUGCAAGUCGAGCGAACAGACGAGGAGCUUGCUCCUCUGACGUUAGCGGCGGACGGGUGAGUAACACGUGGAUAACCUACCUAUAAGACUGGGAUAACUUCGGGAAACCGGAGCUAAUACCGGAUAACAUGUUGAACCGCAUGGUUCAACAGUGAAAGACGGUCUUGCUGUCACUUAUAGAUGGAUCCGCGCCGCAUUAGCUAGUUGGUAAGGUAACGGCUUACCAAGGCAACGAUGCGUAGCCGACCUGAGAGGGUGAUCGGCCACACUGGAACUGAGACACGGUCCAGACUCCUACGGGAGGCAGCAGUAGGGAAUCCUCCGCAAUGGGCGAAAGCCUGACGGAGCAACGCCGCGUGAGUGAAGAAGGUCUUCGGAUCGUAAAACUCUGUUAUUAGGGAAGAACAAAUGUGUAAGUAACUAUGCACGUCCUGACGGUACCUAACCAGAAAGCCACGGCUAACUACGUG
Molecule: ribosomal RNA, 497 nt
Filed under: uncultured bacterium
Lineage: Bacteria
Description: partial 16S ribosomal RNA
Rfam family: Bacterial small subunit ribosomal RNA
Source: RNAcentral